RNAcentral lists this unclassified non-coding RNA (233 nucleotides) under Hevea brasiliensis (rubber tree). The record is from RNAcentral. Lineage: Eukaryota; Viridiplantae; Streptophyta; Magnoliopsida; Malpighiales; Euphorbiaceae.
GGUGCGGGUGAUGGAGGUGUGGGGCAGUAAUGCGCUGCUGCAAUGGGAGCCCCCGAAGGACGACGGCAACGCCGAAAUCAGCGGAUACACCGUGCAGAAGGCCGACACGCGCACCAUGGAGUGGUUCACAGUGUUGGAGCACAGCCGCCCCACGCGCUGCACGGUGUCGGAGUUGGUGAUGGGCAACGAGUAUCGGUUCCGCGUCUACAGCGAGAACGUCUGCGGGACGAGCC